CCUUCCUCCUCCCUCACCACUUCCUCUCUCUCCAUCACCACUUCCUCCUUCUCUCCCUCUCACCACUUCCUCCCUGUCCCUCACCACUUUCUCCUCUCUCUGUCCCCACUUCCUGCCCUCUCUUCCCUGUUCUGAGGACACUGAUCCUUACCAGACAUAGAGGGCUGUCCUUGGAUUCAAGCUCCGCCCCUACCUGGAUGUUUCUGGACCCUUCUGAGCUGAGGCUCCCCCAGCUGAAGAAUGGGAAUGACAGUCAUGGCACUUAUGUCACAGAGCAGAAUUGAAUUUGUUCUCAGACCGGAAGUAUAAUAGUGCCUGAUUUCAAUUCAACUGAAGUACCAGCCUCCAGGAUCAUCAAUUUGCUCAGCAUGUUUCUACAGGUCCGGCCUCAGACAGUAAUGACCGUAGGUGGCGGUGCUCGGUGUAACCCCUAUCAAACCAGCUCCCAUACUUCAUUUUGUCAGCUUGACAAUCUGUAAGGCUUCUUGGGUCCUGUUACGGGGUCAGUUGUGUCUCCUCCAAACCAUAUACUGAAACCCUAACCCCCGGUAUCUCAGAAUGCAACCGUAUUUAGAAGCAGGGUCAUUACAAGUUGCAGAUGUAAGUAAGAUGGGCCCAUACUGGAUUAGGAUGAGUCCCUCAAUGAGUAUGACUGCCGUCCUUGUACAAAGAGCAGAAGAGACACGGUCACGCAGUGGGACGAGGCCACAUGAAGCUAUGGGCUGGCGCGAGGCACCUACAAGCCAGACGACGGGGAGGACUGCCUGACGGCCACCAGAAGCUGGGAGAGGCAGAAAGGAUUCCCCUACAGGCGUCAAAGUAGAGCUGUGCCCACACCUUAAUGUUGGACUUCCAUCCUCCAGGACUGUGAGACCAGACAUUUCUGUGGCUUUCAGUCAUCCGGUUUGGGCAUCCAGAGGACGCUGCUGCAGGCUCACAUUGGGCAACUACUUGCCCCCUUGGUCAGAAAGGAGCUAGCCCUCCCACUGCGGCCACUGCUGACAUUUGUAACCCCAAGUGCCUCCUCACCCAUCCCAUCUAUGUGUCACCCCAGCCCCUCCUUUAGAACGUGGCUCAAAUGCCACCACAGAGAGAGACGCUCUUCUCAAUCCUGCAAGAGAACGUGGAGGAGAAACAGAGGAUGAAAUCAGAUGCUGCCGCCGCCCCCCACCCCCACGGCCCUUGUUGCCUAUUUAGCAUAAUUCAAGUGGGCGAAAAGCAGCCUCCAUACUUUUAUCUGUCUUGUGCCAGGGGUGGGGACGGGAAGACAAUAACUUACAGAAUGCUUUCAUCUCAGGUCAGAGGUUGAUUUUCAGGAGGCCAGGUGUUAACAUUAAGUUGGAAUACAAAAAAAGAAUUCCAUUGUUGGGAGAGGUUAUGGAGAGGACACAACCUCUGGUAGACUGAGGGCUGGCCCGAGGCUCUUUUCCCCUCCACCUGCCCCGCCCCCCCAAGCACCUUCAAGGAUACAACCAGUACACUGAACUGGAUCUCUUCAAGGCCUCUCUAUGAACUUUUAGGAUUCUGGAAGGCAGGGGGAGAUGGGUUCUAUGCAGGGGAGGGCAAGCCUCCCAUGUAAGUUGCCUUGUUUAUUGCACCUGGGGCAGACCCUGCAGAAGCAGCUGGUCAGUUUCCUCAGCCUCCCCUUGUCAGGCCGCCCGCAGGGUGUCACUUUCAAGUUUCACCCUUUAGAACUCGCAGAACUCCUGAGGGGGUUUUGAAACAACACAAGUUAAAACCUAAGUGUAUUUGGUCAAGUUCCUGGUGUCUGCUUGAUCAGGGUAGAGCACCCCCUUCCCCCGGUUCAAUUUUGCGUCUUGACAUCUUAAUGGAACCGGAAGGCUCAGCUAGAUGGCCAUUUCCCUCCAAAAGACUUCUCCAAGGGUGAGGCUGUUUCCUGGGUGUGUACAUGUGCCAGGCCUCGGGGACAGCUUCCUAAGCAGGAGAGAUAACGGCGCUUCCAUUCACGGAGCUCACAGUUUUGUGGGACCACACAGGCUAAGGAGACACACAACCACACGAGUUAGGAACCUUGGGAAUGUUCGUUCUGCACGUGACAAUAACCAGGCACAAGCCGCACCUCAGAGAGCAAAAUUAGAAUUGCCUGUGUUUGUGUUCUACAAUGUAUUUGAGAUAAUUAAAAAUUAGCCCGUGAAACCAUCGAGAUCAUCAUAGGAGCAGGAAGGAUUUGGAGGCGGUCUUUUCCCUCCGGGCAAAUGAACUGGACUUUUAUGAGAGUAAAUACGAAAUCUGAAUCCGGCUGCACAUUUUACUAAAACUGCUAACAUCUCAUGGUCACCUCUGCCUAGCUGGCAGGCCUCCGGAAUAGCCACCCCCGGCCGUGUCUUAUUAGCAACCUGCAAGAAAAUAACCAAAAAUAAUCGGCCGUUGAAAUGAUUAUUUAAGCCUCCAAGAAACGCAUCCUGAUGACUGUGCGUGACCGUGUGGUGGCUGCGCUCUCGUCGCUCCUGCCUCUCCAGUCCGGCUCCACUUCUCCGCUGCUGCUUUAAGACUGCAGAGCGCCCCAGCGGCCAGAGGCAGGGGAGGGGGUCCCCGCUCGCCUCCGCGCCGCUCGCUCGCUCGCUCGCUCGCUCCGCGCCCGCCCGCCCGCCUCCCAGGCAGGGAAGGUUAGCGAGGGCUCACUGCGAUUCGGGCCGCGGGAGAGGAAAGAUGAGCCUGCCCGCCCGCCUGCUGCCUGGAUGUGGAGGCUGAGGGCCGGCGCACGGGAGGCCGCUUGCUGCGCAGUCGGGGCGCCGGGUGCCCGGGAUGAGCUCACGCCCGCGUCUGCGGCUCCGUCCACCUGCCGACCUGCCGGCGGCCCCCUGAGCUGACGGCGCACCUGGGCUGCAGCCCCGCCGGCCCGCUCUGGCCGCAGCGUUGGGCGCGGCGCCCGGGAGCAGGUGUGCAGGAGCGCAGCGCGCGGCGAGCGCAGCCCUCGCCCCGGAGCCCGGCCGCGCC
Molecule: long non-coding RNA, 2958 nt
Organism: Felis catus (domestic cat)
Lineage: Eukaryota; Metazoa; Chordata; Mammalia; Carnivora; Felidae
Exons: 6
Source: RefSeq, a predicted model, not a curated record